Molecule: long non-coding RNA, 989 nt
Organism: Saccostrea cuccullata (small rock oyster)
Lineage: Eukaryota; Metazoa; Mollusca; Bivalvia; Ostreida; Ostreidae
Exons: 3
Source: RefSeq, a predicted model, not a curated record
CAAUAUAAAUGACGGGAAGAUCUCACCACCCCUAAAUUAGCCCCCGUCGAUGGGCCUCACCUAACCGGCAUUGGGGUAUAUAAGGGUUCGGCGAUCCAGGAACAGUCGAUCGCACCGACACCAGCUGAUCCGGAAUCAAGAAGUUUUGGGCAAGGAGGCCAAAAGACAUCGUAACUUAUUCCAAAUUGAAAACAAUGGACGCAUCCAAAAUUAUAAUUUGCUGUAUUCUGUGCAUUUCUUUAAUGGUUGUACUCUGUGAAUCCGCGCCCUUAGAACAUGCUUUGUCCAAGAGGCAUGCGCCUGUGGAACCCCAAAAGGAGGUUGUGAAAUCUAGAAGGCGGCGUGGGCUCGGUAGAAACGUUCGGAUCCGUCAGAUGUACGUCUGCCUCAGGCUUAUACGGGACAUAGCAGAUCACCGGAACUUUGACGACAGUUUCCUGCCGUCCUAUUGUAAACCUUUAUACUGUGCUCAGCUAGCGAGGAAUAGGGCCAAUUCCUACCCUUCCUUCUGCACAUCGGAUAAUAUUGCAAUUACCGUGAUACAGAAGUAACUUAUUUAGCUAGGUAGAUAUUAUAAUAAAUUUUCAAAGACAAUAUGAAAUCCAAAGAUCAAGGCUUUGUACUCUGUUGGUGACUCUGUUUAACCGUCCACAAUCCAUGAAAUGACUUUGCAAGAGGACGCAAAAGCAUUUACGUAUAUAUAAUUGGACUUAACGCAUGUCUCAUUAUCAAAAGGUGCAAUAUUUAGAGAAAUGUGGAAAUCAUGGAGAUACACCUUUCAAUGGUGGACAAACGACACUGAUGUCGUGCAUCCUAAUCGUGAAAUUCGUAUCUGAGUUUACUUUUUCAUUAAUGUUUGCCAUGUCAACACCUUUAAUUAAGUGUAUUGAAUCUAAUUUCAUAUAUGAAAUGUACAUUUUACAAAUGAAUGAGAUUUAAUAAUUUCUAUGAAAUGGCAUUGUUAUGUUUUAAUAAAAAUAUCAAGUUUU